GGUCCCAUCGUCUAGUGGCCUAGGACACUGGCCUCUCACGUCAGAAACACGGGUUCGACUCCCGUUGGGACUA
Molecule: transfer RNA, 73 nt
Filed under: Candidatus Schekmanbacteria bacterium GWA2_38_9
Lineage: Bacteria; Candidatus Schekmaniibacteriota
Also listed under: 3 other names
Description: tRNA-Glu
Rfam family: tRNA
About the family: Transfer RNA (tRNA) molecules are approximately 80 nucleotides in length. Their secondary structure includes four short double-helical elements and three loops (D, anti-codon, and T loops).
Source: RNAcentral